RNAcentral lists this ribosomal RNA (252 nucleotides) under uncultured bacterium. RNAcentral describes it as "partial 16S ribosomal RNA". It matches the Rfam family "Bacterial small subunit ribosomal RNA", at positions 524 to 776 of the family's 1533-position model. The record is from RNAcentral.
UACGUAGGAUGCGAGCGUUAUCCGGAUUUAUUGGGUUUAAAGGGUGCGCAGGCGGCACGGCAAGCCGGCGGUCAAAUCGCGGGGCUCAACCCCGCCCAGCCGUCGGAACUGCCGGGCUAGAGUGGGCGAGAAGUGCGCGGAAUGCGUGGUGUAGCGGUGAAAUGCAUAGAUAUCGCGCAGAACUCCGAUUGCGAAGGCAGCGCACCGGCGCCCUACUGACGCUCAGGCACGAAAGCGUGGGUAUCGAACAGG